UUACCACAAAUUAGUGAAGCAGCAAAUCUGCCAAGAAGAAAAUUGAUUGAGAUCAAAUUUAGUCUACAUAAAAAGAGGAUCCAAUCCUGCCCCCAGAACCUCUCAGACACCAAGCAAUCAAACAAAACCUGUUCAAGCAUAAGUGUCAGGCGAAAUCAGUGUAGAGUAGAGAAGUAAAUUAAAGCAGAAACGGAAAUCAGGAAUAACCUGGUCAUUGUAAGCUUCUUUGUAAGCAUCUCUCUCAAAUCUGUCAAUUUCGAAAACCCUAGAGAGAAACGACGCUGGGAAGGAGAAAAGGAACGAAAGAAUUGGAGAACACGCAGGGAAGACGCCUCAGCCUCUUCUUCGAGUAUGGCAAAACAACACCCUUUUCAUGAAUAGAAACGACACAAAGAAAGAAGAAAACGAACGGAAGAAAAAACGUAAAAAAUAAGCGUUUCAGAUUGGAAUGGAAUGAAAGAGUGAAUAAGAUGCAAUUAAAAAUCAAAAUCCUUGUGAAUCAACGGCUGAGAAAUGAUUCAAAUUUAGAAUUUCAAACUUUGUUGAUUGAAUGAUUAAAAUUUGUCAUUAAUAAAAACA
RNAcentral lists this long non-coding RNA (579 nucleotides) under Lotus japonicus. RNAcentral's name for it is "long non-coding RNA (LJAP_LNC001812)". The record is from RNAcentral. Lineage: Eukaryota; Viridiplantae; Streptophyta; Magnoliopsida; Fabales; Fabaceae.